This 29-nucleotide non-coding RNA is filed under the name Homo sapiens (human). Lineage: Eukaryota; Metazoa; Chordata; Mammalia; Primates; Hominidae. The record is from RNAcentral.
UGGGAAGACGCCUCGUUCAGUGAGAAGGU